Castor canadensis (American beaver) is the source of this 1821-nucleotide long non-coding RNA. The record is from Ensembl. Lineage: Eukaryota; Metazoa; Chordata; Mammalia; Rodentia; Castoridae.
UCCUAGAAUAGCUUCCAAUCCACAGUUCUAGAUUACCUUCCUAUAAUCAAGGUGAAAUAUUGGUUGUCCUGACCCUAAGGGUUUCUCCACAGGAGAGCUCAUAACAUGAAUGCUUUAUUCUGUGUUUUUUCAUUUGUUGUCAUUGAGGAAAUACUCAUGUUUCCUUUUCCAAUGCCAUAGGUAUUUACAGUUCUUUAGCCAAGAGUUCUGGAGCUCAUGAUUCUGUAGUUAAGGAUCCUGGAACCACCAUUCAUCUGAAGGGGAUCCGAGGAGGUUCAGUCCUGUUCCAUGUGACCAAGGAGACAGCAGAAGCUGAUGUGCAGGAGAUCACUUGGAGCUUUGGUCCUGGCUCAGACUACAGCAUCAUGCUAAAAAUGCACCGUGGGUCAGAGACCCCGGAUUGGGUCAGCCUGCAGGACAAGUACAAACAGAGGGUCCAUGUGCCCAACAUGACAUCGCUGAGGAUUGAGAACUUGAUCUUACAGGACAGUGGGCCAUACAAGGCUCAGAUUACAUUAACUAAUGGAAAAGGAUCUGACCAAUUUUUUCACCUCAAUAUUUAUGGGACCUCAGAGCACCUGAAUGUGACCUGGAAGAGCAAGGGUCUUCCCAGGGAGCUGGAGCAGAGAGGGACACCAGGACCAGCUCCCAACCCCUGGACAUUAACUGUGAGGCUGCCCCACAGCCAUCUGCAUGCCAGCCUCACCUGUGUGGUCAGCAACUAUGUGGACCAGAAAAAUGCCACCUUAGAGCUUGGCAACAUUUGUGCCCAAGGUGAGUGCCACCUGCUGGAGGGGAGGGGCAACAUGGAGCUAAGGUAGCACAGGAGACUGAGGUCUCUGGGCUUUUCUCCCUGCCAUGUUUAAUGGCACCACCACGUUCACCUGAUCACCCGAUGUAGAAGUUCUGGAGGUACAUCCAUCUCACACUGGCCUUUAAAUGUCCCUCUCAAGUCCAUACCAUUCCCUGCUGGUCCAGAUAGUAGCCUUCUAGAACCUGCCUUAUUCCAUCCAUCAUACAUUGUGAGCUCAGAAUAGUCUUUGGACUAGUGGAUAGACUGUGUCACUUGUCUGUGUUGUCUCUGUGAUCUGACUUACAAUUGCUUUCUAUAGGACUUAGAAUUUCCUCUGCUUGUGCUGUUAGUCUCAUGUGGAAAUGUCACAGAACAGUUUGAUGUAGUUACCUGAAUGUAUGUAUGCUGCCAUUGUAAAGCAUCUCCUCUUGUAAGGAGCUGUCCAUGUCUCAUCCCAUAUACUGAGUAAUUUUGAUUUAUUUAUAUAUUUUAUUCCUCUGUAGACUGGAACACAUGAGUCACAAGAGCCACAUCUCUUUUUCCCUUGAAUUCUUGUGCUAAGCAUACCUUCUUUUCCCCUCUUUAUUCAUUUAUUCAUAUGUGCAUAUAUUGUUUGGGCCAUUUCUCCCCCCUGCUCCCUACCUUCUCCUUCUCCUCCCCUCCCCUCUUUCUUCAAGGCAGAACCUGUUCUGCCCUUUUCUCCAGUUUUUUUGAAGAGUAGAUAUAAGCAAUAAUAAGAAAGACAUAGCGUUUUUGCUAGUUGAGAUAAGGACAGCUAUACAGAGAGAUUCCUAGCAUUAAGCAUACCUUCUUGCCUGAGUUCACUCACAAUUGUUCUUUCAUUGAAUGAAUGAAUGUCCUGGGACCCUGUUUCAGCUUAUGCUCCUUAACCAUCCCUUAGGAACUGCUGGAGGGAUCUGACAUGUAGGUGUCAAUCAUAACCUGUUGUCACAUCCUGAUCCCUCUUUCUGUCUUGAAGUCUCAGGGAAAGUUUACCAUCUAGCAAGGCCUACAGGACCUUUUGGACU